This is a long non-coding RNA of Diceros bicornis minor, 221 nucleotides long. RefSeq lists it as uncharacterized. The record is from RefSeq and is a predicted model, not a curated record. Lineage: Eukaryota; Metazoa; Chordata; Mammalia; Perissodactyla; Rhinocerotidae. The transcript has 3 exons.
CCAAGGAGUGAUUUGGGGCCUGGUUCCAGGAAAUGGAGCUGCUCAACGAGAAUGAGAUCUACAGCCUGUCCUGCCAGCUGGAGCCCCAGACCUAGUUAGCCAGCAGAAUACUCAAGGCCAAGAAGAACCGGCCAUCAUCAAGGUCAGGGCCCCCAGGCCCCAACACCGAGCCCCGUACCAGUGGCCGAUCAAGCCCCAUCCUCAGCAGCGGGGACACAGCU